RNAcentral lists this unclassified non-coding RNA (778 nucleotides) under Hevea brasiliensis (rubber tree). Lineage: Eukaryota; Viridiplantae; Streptophyta; Magnoliopsida; Malpighiales; Euphorbiaceae. The record is from RNAcentral.
AAGCAGAAACAGAUAUCUGACAUUAUGAGUAUCAAACAAAUUAUGCCUUCAAUGAAUAAUUAAAUCCAAAAACAUACUAAUCAAAAUAACCAAAAAAAAGCAAAAAAAUGUAGGUCUUUUCAACAAAAUUCAAUGCUCUGGCUCCACAUUUCAGUAGUAGCAAUGAAACAGAAACCCCCACAAAGCUAAUGAUAUCUUAAACCAUAGUUUAUAGUAUAGUCCAUACAAAGCUCAAAGCAGAAAUUCCAGGUUCAUAAGCAAACGAUUCUCAAGACUCUGCCAUAGAUUCAUGAACAAGUCCAUAUUGCAAUAACAUUCUGAUGAAAGUAAGAAAUAUAUCUUGAAUUUUAUAGUGAAUUUAUCCAUUAAACUACUCAUGUUGCUGCCAAAAAGAAUCUAUACUUUUUCAGUCUACGUCAGUGACAAGCCAAACUUCUGCCCAGCCAUUUUUCAGGUCUUGGAGAAGAUUAGUUAUCAGAAUAGUGAUUAUCAAUUCAUAAUUUUCAUAAACUUAAAAAAUGACCAUUGUGUCAGUCUAUAUACAUUUUGGCACACAUAAUAUAGUUUUUGUUUAGUUCUAGUUGUGCUUCUGUCAAUAAGCAUUGAUUGCUGAUAAGUUAUAUUCACAUAUUUCCAAAUCUUAAAGGCUGGCUAACAUUUAUCCUCUAAAAACCCAAUAUAAUUUAUGAUUUUCCUGUUUUAGAAAACUACAAAUAUAAAAUCCAUAUGACUUACCACUUUUAUGAUGCUUCUAGAAUGAUUAAUCGCAAAGCUCACU